AUACUGUAUAAUUUGUAAUAUAUAAAUUACAAAUUUAGCUCUUAAUUGUGGGAAUCAGAUUCUUCGAGUUCUAUUGAUUUUUUGGAUGCUGUGUAAUAUUUUAUUGUCUGUAUAACAGUAUUUUUUUUUUUUAAUGAGCCAAUAGAACAGAAGUCAAAAUCUAUUUUUAUUCGGAAAAAUCAUAUUAGAAUACAUGUUUAAAAACAGUUAUUGUGAAGGAAAUAAGUGUAUAUUAACUUUCCAGUUAUGUUAUUCACUUAAAAGAACAUUUCUUAGCUUUCUACCAAUUCCCCCAAAAUUAUAAAGAAAUUGUUUCUGAUUUUCCUGUUAAAUAGCAAAGUAAAAUUCUAAACCCAUUGGUAACCCUGUAUUUUGUACAGUGUUCAAAGUACAUAAGUCACUACUUGGGAACUUCAUGAUUUUUAUGUAUACGUUAUUAUAAUGACAUUUAAGAA
Molecule: long non-coding RNA, 455 nt
Filed under: Bos taurus (domestic cattle)
Lineage: Eukaryota; Metazoa; Chordata; Mammalia; Artiodactyla; Bovidae
Description: long non-coding RNA NONBTAT006641
Source: RNAcentral